This 707-nucleotide ribosomal RNA is filed under the name Leotiomycetes sp. RNAcentral describes it as "eukaryotic LSU rRNA". The stretch from base 282 to 707 matches the Rfam family "Eukaryotic large subunit ribosomal RNA", at positions 1 to 429 of the family's 3401-position model. The record is from RNAcentral. Lineage: Eukaryota; Fungi; Ascomycota; Leotiomycetes.
GUUCUGGCAUCGAUGAAGAACGCAGCGAAAUGCGAUAAGUAAUGUGAAUUGCACAAUUCAGUGAAUCAUCGAAUCUUUGAACGCACAUUGCGCCCGGUGGUAUUCCGCCGGGCAUGCCUGUUCGAGCGUCAUUAUAACCAAUCAUGCCUGGCAUGGUGUUGGGGCACGCGGUCUCGCGGCCCUCAAAAUCAGUGGCGGUGCCGGUAGGCUCUAAGCGUAGUAAUUCUUCUCGCUACAGGGUCCUGCGGGUGGCUUGCCAGAACCCCCCAUUUUUUUCAGGUUGACCUCGGAUCAGGUAGGGAUACCCGCUGAACUUAAGCAUAUCAAUAAGCGGAGGAAAAGAAACCAACAGGGAUUACCUCAGUAACGGCGAGUGAAGCGGUAACAGCUCAAAUUUGAAAGCUCCCCACAGGGCGCAUUGUAAUUUGUAGAGGAUGCUUUGGGGGUCGGCCCGGUUUAAGUUCCUUGGAACAGGACGUCAUAGAGGGUGAGAAUCCCGUAUGUGACCGGUGCUAGCCUUCGUGUAAAGCUCCUUCGACGAGUCGAGUUGUUUGGGAAUGCAGCUCAAAAUGGGUGGUAUAUUUCAUCUAAAGCUAAAUAUUGGCCAGAGACCGAUAGCGCACAAGUAGAGUGAUCGAAAGAUGAAAAGCACUUUGGAAAGAGAGUUAAACAGUACGUGAAAUUGUUGAAAGGGAAGCGCUUGCAAU